GGAAGGAGAAAGAGGUCAGGCUUUGGGGUUGAUCAGAUUCCUGCUCUGCUAAUGGCCAGCUGUGUCCCUGUGCAGAGGACCCCAGCACUCAGGACCCCAGUGGUGGAGGAAGGGGUUAACGAUCUCUGUGCUGCAGGAUUAUUAUUAUUAUUAUUAUUUUUGAGACAGACUCUCGCCUGUCACCCAGGUUAGAGUAUAGUGGCGUGAUCUUAGCUUACUGCCUCCUCCACCUCCCGGGUUCAAGCAAUUCUCCUGCCUCAGUCUCCCGAGUAGCUGGGAUUACAGGCAUGCGCCACCACACCUGGCUAAUUUUUAUGUUUUUAGUAGACGUGGGGCUUCACCAUGUCAGCCAGGAUGGUCUCAAUCUCUUGACCUCGUGGUCCUUCGGCCUCGGCCUCCCAAAGUGCUCGGAUUACAGGUGUGAGCCACCACACCCUGCUGCAGGACUACUAUUUACCUGAGAGAUUUUAUAUAUUAGUAAGUCUAUGACAAGCACACAUCAUGUGUGUGAUAUACAGUAAGGGCUCAAUAAAUGCACACUGCUGAAAACCUGUUUCUGUCUUUCUUAGAUGCACCUGCUUCCCAAGGCCUGAGUGCUGAGCAUCUUUAUAUUCUCACCGGGGUCUCAGUGGUCUUCCUCUUUUGUCUCCUACUUCUGGUCCUCUUUUUCCUCCAUCACCAGAAUCAGAUAAAGCAGGACAAGGCCACAGUCAGUGGACUUCCUGAGAAGGACAGAGAGAUGGACACCUCGGCCCCGGCUGCAGGGGACCCCCAGGAGGUGACGUAUGCGCAGCUGGACCACUGGGCCCUCACACGGAGGACAGCCCAGGCUGUGUCUCCACAGUCCACAAAGCCCAUGGCUGAGUCCUGCACGUAUGCAGCCAUUGCCGGACACUGACCCCAGGCCCACCUGACCUCUACACCUGAGGAUGUAAAGUCACUCUAGGAAAAGGCUGAAGCGGCCAUUUGGAAGGCUUCCUCUUGGACUCAUCAUCAUCUGGAAAGCGAGUCAGGCAGCUGUCCAGGAGACAUGAGCUGGAGACGAGUUUUCUAACCAGCUUCCAGAAGUUUCCUUAACCAGGUGGUUCCUUCUACAAUUGACCAGCUCCUUGGAUAGACUGUGUUGCCAUUGAUUCCAGAGACUCAGAUACAUACACCUGACUACUUCUAGAAACGAAUCUCUAAUCAGCUGGCUGUUUCCAGACACCCAUCUACAAUUGUCUGGCUGUCUCUAGAACUCCAGCUACAGUUGUCUGGCUAUUUCUAGAGACACAGCUACAGUUGUGACUGUUUCUAGAGACCCAGCUGCAGUUGUCUGGCUGCUUCUAGAGACCCAGCUUUAUUCACCUGACUGUUUUCAGAGACCCAACUAUAGUCACCUGGCUAUUUUCAGAAACCCAGCCACAGGUUGUCUCCAGAGACCCUGCUACAAACACCCAGCUGAUCUGAUGAGCAGUGAAGCAGUCCCCCAGCUGGUCCUAGGUGUCUCCUGUGAAUCUCCAAUGACCCCAGAGACUUUGUUGGAAUGAUCUGCUCUCUGACCCUGAAGACCUUCCUAGAAGUGAAGAGCUAACCUUGAGACAGUGCUAUACAUUUACAGCUGAGAGCUAAGCCCGGUUCUCUGGGUCAUACUUUACUCUGUGCAUCAGUAAAUAAUUCUGAAGACAUCACACCUGGUGGCCCCAUGCCUGGUCCUGGGUGCACAGGUCAUCUGGGCCGAGUCUCUGCCUUCACAGUUGUUCAAAGCUGAGUGAGGGAAACAGGACUUACAAAGGACGUGUCAGCGUUUUCAUUUUAAAAUUGAGUGGACAAAGAUAGCAUAUAUUCCGGGUGUACAAUGGGAUAAUUUGAUAUACGUAUACAUUGCACAAUGAUCGCCAUAAUCAAAUUAAUGAGCACAGUUUUCACCACCCAUGCCGUACGCAAGACCUCCUGAACUUGCUCAUCACAGGACUCAGAGUUGGUGUCAGUAUUUUCAGAUGGAGCCUGUGUUUCAGGGAUGAAUGAGGGAGGUGUCUGAGGGACGUGUGGGUGGGUGCAGACAGAGAGCUGACCUCACCUACCCAAAGCUUUACACACACACACAAACAUGUAUACACUCACACGUGCACACAGCAUGC
RNAcentral lists this long non-coding RNA (2120 nucleotides) under Cercocebus atys (sooty mangabey). RNAcentral describes it as "lncRNA (ENSCATG00000045553.1)". Lineage: Eukaryota; Metazoa; Chordata; Mammalia; Primates; Cercopithecidae. The record is from RNAcentral.